GUUUUUGUAGUUGAUGGACAACGGUGGUUUUUCAGGCUGCAGGACUCAGUAGAGCAAAAAUU
Molecule: transfer RNA, 62 nt
Filed under: Deinagkistrodon acutus (Chinese moccasin)
Lineage: Eukaryota; Metazoa; Chordata; Lepidosauria; Squamata; Viperidae
Description: tRNA-Glu
Source: RNAcentral